Molecule: unclassified non-coding RNA, 154 nt
Filed under: uncultured Cephalotheca
Lineage: Eukaryota; Fungi; Ascomycota; Sordariomycetes; Cephalothecales; Cephalothecaceae
Description: sequence contains ITS2
Source: RNAcentral
CAACCCUCAAGCACCGCUUGGCGUUGGGGCACUACGCGCUGAGCGUAGGCCCCUAAAAUCAGUGGCGGACCCGCCGUGGCUCCGGGCGUAGUAGCAACACCUCGCCCUGGGACCGCGGCGCGCUCCGGCCGUUAAACCCCCACUAUAUCGAAGG